GAUGAACGCUGGCGGCGUGCCUAACACAUGCAAGUCGAACGGAGUUUAGCGCUGAUGAAGCUUCGGCAGAUUCUUGUUAAACUUAGUGGCGGACGGGUGAGUAACGCGUGGGUAACCUGCCUCAUACAGGGGGAUAGCAGUUGGAAACGACUGAUAACACCGCAUAAGCGCACAGUAUCGCAUGAUACAGUGUGAAAAUAUUUAUAGGUAUGAGAUGGACCCGCGUCUGAUUAGCUAGUUGGUGAGGUAACGGCCCACCAAGGCGACGAUCAGUAGCCGGCCUGAGAGGGCGGACGGCCACAUUGGGACUGAGACACGGCCCAAACUCCUACGGGAGGCAGCAGUGGGGGAUAUUGCACAAUGGGCGAAAGCCUGAUGCAGCGACGCCGCGUGAGUGAAGAAGUAUUUCGGUAUGUAAAGCUCUAUCAGCAGGGAAGAAAGACCUCGUAAGA
RNAcentral lists this ribosomal RNA (452 nucleotides) under bacterium AE2010. RNAcentral describes it as "bacterial SSU rRNA". It matches the Rfam family "Bacterial small subunit ribosomal RNA", at positions 28 to 462 of the family's 1533-position model. The record is from RNAcentral.